RNAcentral lists this unclassified non-coding RNA (153 nucleotides) under Helminthosporium solani. RNAcentral describes it as "partial internal transcribed spacer 2". Lineage: Eukaryota; Fungi; Ascomycota; Dothideomycetes; Pleosporales; Massarinaceae. The record is from RNAcentral.
UCACCCCCAAGCUCUGCUUGGUGUUGGGCGCCUGUCCCGCCUCAGUGUGCGGACUCGCCCUAAAGCUAUUGGCAGCGGUCGUGCCAGCUUCUAGCGCAGCACAUUUGCGCUUCUUGAAGCUAUGGUGGAUCAGCAUCCAGCAAGCCCUCUAUA